This 435-nucleotide unclassified non-coding RNA is filed under the name Bombus terrestris (buff-tailed bumblebee). RNAcentral's name for it is "misc RNA ENSBTSG00005021071.1". Lineage: Eukaryota; Metazoa; Arthropoda; Insecta; Hymenoptera; Apidae. The record is from RNAcentral.
GAAUUUCUUUUUAUAUCAAUUAUUUAUUUUCCAUACAAAUUAUAAACAUGUUUUUCAAAUACUGUACAUAUACUGAAUUCUAUUAUAUUUUUAAACCUCUAAUUUAAUGAUAUAUCAUUUCGUUCUUUAUUUACUUGUUAAAUCAACUACUUUGAUCCUCGUUUCGUUUUAUUUAUGAUAAUAUACAGGUAGAUCCCAUUCUUUCUGAUCAUUACUUCAUUUAAUCAUUUUUAUAAUCAAGCUCAAUUCUUUGAUAUGGCAGUUCCAGGAUAUGAAGAAAUAUAAAUUGCAAAUAGAUCACUUUUUGAAUCAAACUCAAGCUCGGGCUGGCCAGUACUUCGAACGUGUGAAGGUGUACAUGUAUCCCUGCACUGAUGGGGGUGGAUGGCUGCAUGGCGAGCAGGUUCAAGCAGGCUAAUCCUUGAUCAAUCUGUA